GGAUCGGAGUCUGNAACCCGACUACAUGAAGCUGGAAUCGCUAGUAAUCGCAGGUCAGCAUACUGCGGUGAAUACGUUCCCGGGUCUUGUACACACCGCCCGUCACACCAUGGGAGCCGGAAAUGCCCGAAGCCAGUGACCCAACCUUAGGGAGGGAGCUGUCGAAGGUGGAGCCGGUAACUGGGGUGAAGUCGUAACAAGGUAAC
This 206-nucleotide ribosomal RNA is filed under the name uncultured bacterium. RNAcentral's name for it is "partial 16S ribosomal RNA". It matches the Rfam family "Bacterial small subunit ribosomal RNA", at positions 1295 to 1500 of the family's 1533-position model. The record is from RNAcentral.